AGCGGCCUGGGAACUCUUAGCUGAGCAGGCGAGAGCAUCAUGGAUACCGACUUAUAUGAUGAGUUUGGGAAUUAUAUUGGACCAGAGCUUGAUUCUGAUGAAGAUGAUGAUGAAUUGGGUAGAGAGACCAAAGAUCUUGAUGAGGUAAAACAAAUAUAUUGCUCUUUUAUCUCACUCUUAUUUAUUUUAUUUAAGACAAGAUCUCACUCUCUUGCCAGGUUGGAGUGCAGUGGCGCAAUCUCAGCUCACUGCAACCUCCACCUCCUGGGCUUAAGUGAUCCUCCCACCUUGGCCUCCCAAGUAGCUGGGACUACAGAUGGAUGAUGAUGACGACGACGAUGACGUAGGAGAUCAUGACGAUGACCACCCUGGGAUGGAGGUGGUGCUGCAUGAGGACAAGAAGUACUACCCAACAGCCGAGGAGGUGUAUGGUCCUGAGGUGGAGACCAUAGUUCAAGAGGAAGACACUCAGCCUCUCACAGAACCCAUUAUUAAGCCAGUGAAAACCAAGAAAUUCACUCUGAUGGAGCAGACAUUACCUGUUACGGUGUAUGAGAUGGA
RNAcentral lists this long non-coding RNA (561 nucleotides) under Homo sapiens (human). RNAcentral describes it as "non-protein coding lnc-GFAP-3:2". Lineage: Eukaryota; Metazoa; Chordata; Mammalia; Primates; Hominidae. The record is from RNAcentral.